This 339-nucleotide ribosomal RNA is filed under the name Triticum aestivum (bread wheat). RNAcentral describes it as "partial small subunit ribosomal RNA". The record is from RNAcentral. Lineage: Eukaryota; Viridiplantae; Streptophyta; Magnoliopsida; Poales; Poaceae.
AUGCCUGGACUCUUGCAUUUGGCGUUGCUCUGUUUCAGGUUAGGCGUCGUCGGCAGGCUGGGAACGCCUGGUUCCGUCCCUGUGGUUUCCUGCGAUGCCAUUCAUGCACGUUCUAGGGUGAGCAUGUCCACCGCUCACCGGUCCGGCGCCUCGAGCCAGGCGAGGAGGCAGGGGCCUUCUGUGACGAUGGAUCUGGAUGGAUGUGUCUCCUUCAAGCCCAGGCGUUCGGCUAUGGCGUGCUUUGUUCCGUCGUCGGUGCUCUUUCCUGAGACGUUUAUCGUUUUUGCCUUGGUUCUCGGCGUGUUUGGGGUUCAUGGCAUCUCUAGCUAUGCUUGCUAG